This is a small nuclear RNA of Pipistrellus kuhlii (Kuhl's pipistrelle), 108 nucleotides long. The record is from RefSeq and is a predicted model, not a curated record. NCBI's taxonomy places the organism in Eukaryota, Metazoa, Chordata, Mammalia, Chiroptera, Vespertilionidae.
GUGCUCGCUUCGGCAGCAUAUAUACUAAAACUGGAACAAUAUAGAGAAGAUUAGCAUGGGCCCUGCACAAGGAUGAUGCAAAAAAAUCAUGAGGCAUUCCAUAUUUAA